RNAcentral lists this ribosomal RNA (986 nucleotides) under Vibrio vulnificus. RNAcentral describes it as "partial 23S ribosomal RNA". It matches the Rfam family "Bacterial large subunit ribosomal RNA", at positions 1239 to 2209 of the family's 2925-position model. The record is from RNAcentral. Lineage: Bacteria; Pseudomonadati; Pseudomonadota; Gammaproteobacteria; Vibrionales; Vibrionaceae.
UUCUGUAAGCCGUUGAAGGUGUGUUGUAAAGCAUGCUGGAGGUAUCAGAAGUGCGAAUGCUGACAUGAGUAACGACAAGGGGGGUGAAAAACCUCCCCGCCGGAAGACCAAGGGUUCCUGUCCAACGUUAAUCGGGGCAGGGUAAGUCGACCCCUAAGGCGAGGCUGAAAAGCGUAGUCGAUGGGAAACGGGUUAAUAUUCCCGUACUUCUUACAAUUGCGAUGGGGGGACGGAGAAGGCUAGGUGGGCCUGGCGACGGUUGUCCAGGUUCAAGUGCGUAGGCUGAGUGUUUAGGUAAAUCCGGACACUCUUAAGGCUGAGACACGACGUCGAGCUACUACGGUAGUGAAGUCAUUGAUGCCAUGCUUCCAGGAAAAGCCUCUAAGCUUCAGAUUGUAAGGAAUCGUACCCCAAACCGACACAGGUGGUCGGGUAGAGAAUACCAAGGCGCUUGAGAGAACUCGGGUGAAGGAACUAGGCAAAAUGGUACCGUAACUUCGGGAGAAGGUACGCUCUUGAUGGUGAAGUCCCUUGCGGAUGGAGCUGACGAGAGUCGCAGAUACCAGGUGGCUGCAACUGUUUAUUAAAAACACAGCACUGUGCAAAAUCGUAAGAUGACGUAUACGGUGUGACGCCUGCCCGGUGCCGGAAGGUUAAUUGAUGGGGUUAGCGUAAGCGAAGCUCUUGAUCGAAGCCCCGGUAAACGGCGGCCGUAACUAUAACGGUCCUAAGGUAGCGAAAUUCCUUGUCGGGUAAGUUCCGACCUGCACGAAUGGCGUAAUGAUGGCCACGCUGUCUCCACCCGAGACUCAGUGAAAUUGAAAUCGCUGUGAAGAUGCAGUGUACCCGCGGCUAGACGGAAAGACCCCGUGAACCUUUACUACAGCUUGGCACUGAACAUUGAACCUACAUGUGUAGGAUAGGUGGGAGGCUUUGAAGACGUGACGCCAGUUGCGUUGGAGCCGUCCUUGAAAUACCACCCUUGU